RNAcentral lists this small RNA (5765 nucleotides) under Pongo abelii (Sumatran orangutan). Its description in RNAcentral is "processed transcript". Lineage: Eukaryota; Metazoa; Chordata; Mammalia; Primates; Hominidae. The record is from RNAcentral.
GAGGACAUAAUUUUUUCUCAAUUCAUAUUUGCAAAUUGUUUAUUGAGAGUCAGUGUUGUAUAGAGGGAUAAACAUAGAUUUGGAGAUAUAGUCACUUGCCAAGUUGCACCACAGAUUCCUCUGGUAUAAAAUGAAAAUAAUGUGACUCUACAGGAUUGAAUAAUAAUUAACUGAAGUAGUAUAUAUAGUACCCAUCACAGAAUAGGUUUGUAACAAAUGUUAGUUUUGUAAAAAUGUUUUGUCCCGUCAUAAUUUUAAAAUAGGUAAAUUGGACAUUUUCUAUUUUUCUUUAUAACAUAAAUCCGAUAUUCACAUGCAGUUUUUUUCCAACUUUUAUUUUAAGUUCAUGGGUGCAUGCGCAGAUGUGAAGAUUUGUUAUAUAAGUAAAUGUGUGUCAUGGUGGUUUUGCUGCACAGAUCAUCCUAUCACCUAGGUAUUAAACCCAGCGUCCAUUAGCAAUUCUUCCCGACAGCUACAGUUUUGAUUAUGUGCAGCUCUCAAUUGGGUUUUCCCCGUUUAAGAUGUUAGACCAGUGGUUCUCAACCUUGACUAAUUAGAAUCAUGUAAGGAGCUUUUAGAACUCCCAUUGCUCAGGGCAUCCCUCCAAUCAAUUAAAUUACCAUCUCUGGGACUUACAUGUUCAUGUUUUGUGUUCUCUUUUUUAACUCCCUAAGUGAUUUUUAUAUGGAGCCAAGAUUGAAAAUAGUGUUAGACAUGCACUUUCCCAAUUUAUGCUUUGAAAACAAAGACCUUAGUUCAGAGACUUAUGAGAUAGGGUUAUGAUUAGGGGAAGAGUAGGCCCCACAAGUUUCAGGUUAGUGAAGAUUCUGAAGGGUACAAGCUAUAAAGGAGCCUGAGUUUCUGGGAGAACUCAGAAACAAGGAAUCCUAGAAGGGCUGAGAGCAGAACAGCCAAGAACAGAACAGAACCUCGGAAUAGUCUCUGAAAUAAAAGAGUGGAGAGUAUAAGAAACAGAAUGGAGGCAGGCCCCAGGAGGAUUCAGUCAGGAAUUCUGACCUUGGGGACAUAAAUAGGUUUCAUAUCUUCACAGAAAGGUUUACACAACUUUUAUAUAUCAUUUUCUGAGAUGUCUGAAUCCUAGAAAAAGAUAAAGAACAUCAGUAUGUGAAAAAGCCAAGGGCUAAGGUAAUGGUAAUCAGACUACAGUUCUAGAAAUGCCUCUGGAUCUUUAAUACAUGACGGGCAGCUCUUCUAAACCUCUAUGUUACCUCUAUUAGAAUAUUAUUUCUGAUGUAGUUUGUGGAGACACAAAGCAGGAACAGAGGAGAACACUGUAUACAGUAUACUUUAUAAGCACUAAAUAAAUAUGUAAAAACUCUGAAAUAUAAUCUGAGUUUAUAGUCAUAAUGAAGAUUAUUAGCUCAAUAAUCUAGGGUAGAGGUGUCCAAUCUUUUGGCUUCCAUGGGCCACAUUGGAAGAAGAAUUAUCUUGGGCCACACGUAAAAUACACUAACACUAACAAUAACUGACGAGUUAAAAAAAUCACAUAAAAAUCUCAUAAUGUUUUAAGAACGUUUGUGAAUUUGUGUUGAGUCACAUUCAAAGGCCCCCUGGGCCACAUGUGGCCUGUGGGCUGCAAGUUGGACAAGCUUGAUCUAGGGCAAGUGCUCAACAGUGGCUGCACAGUUAAAUCAUAUGUAAAGCUUUCAAAAAGUAAGGGUGCCUAAUUCCACUCCUAGAGAUUCUGAUUUGAUUGGUCUGACAUGGAGCUGUAACAUCAAUAUUUUUAAAUUUUUCCAUAUGAUUUUAAUGUGUAACCAGCAUUGAGAACCAUUAAUCCAGAGGAAACCAGGACUCCUGCUAAUCUUGCACAACUUGGGUACCCUCAAAAUAUAUGGUAUUGGCAAAGUUAAUCUGAGCCUAAGUUCCAGCACCUGUAAAAGAUGGUAAGAAUUUCCUGAAAGAGGUUGUUGUGAAUAUGUACUCUCCUGGGUUUAGUCCUUAGCUUUGCAAGAAAUCCAAAAUCUUCAAGAUGAUCAGCCUGAAAUCAGGGACUCACUAACCACAAACAAACUUGAAAGUGGCUGAUAAAUAACUAACUGGAAGGAUGUUACUUUAAUGUUUCUCACAAAGCCUGUGAUAAUCAUUUGCCAUAUUUGUGAUCAUAGAAAUUUCUUGUCCCUGCCCCAGAAACAUUGAAUCAUGUUCUCCAGGGGAGAGCCUGGGAAUCUAUAUUUUUAACUGACACCCCAGUUGAUUUUUAUCAGAGAAGUCUGGGAAACAUUGUACUUUAAGUUAUUGUAUUGUCAUUCUGGUAUUGAUUUAUGGUAAGAGGAGAUACAUAUUUCCAUUUCCUAGUUUUUCUUGAUGUCUGUCAUCCAGGGUAUCCUUUUCUUGGUAUCAAAGAAUAUGAAAAACCAAUUAUAAUCAGAAAGUGACUUAGUAUGCAUGAAAUUAGAGCAUAGAAAAGGAUAGUUUUGAGGGAACAUUUCAUUCAUAUUUUGACAUAACCUGCUGAGUUUUCCUGGGCCCGCAAUAGCCAGUAGUGUGCAGCCUCAUGUUCUUCAGAGUCAGCAUCUUUCUUUCCCCUUGCAAGCAGUCUCCUGUUUCUAUGAAUAGUCUUUGCUCAGACAAGGCCAAUAUACUUGAUAAUAAUUAAUUUAGCUUCUUUUAAAUGAUUAGGUCACUUUUUGGUUUAAAAGAAGAUUACCGUGGUUGUCCCUAAAAUCUUUGCAGGUACCAAUUUAUUUCCUCCUCCCUAGGGUCAGAACGAUUUCAUAUUUGGCUUAUGAAAUGUAUUAAUUUGCUUCUUUUGAUCAAAGAUAAAGUGGAAGGGUGAUGAGAUUUUUAAAAAAUUAAUGUAUCCCUUGCUUCUAAUUCUACCUACAAAGCAGAAUAGUGUGCCAGUUACUAUAUAGUUCCUAGUGUAUAGCUUUUGACUCUUUUGAAGUGGUAACUAGUAGUUUUGUUUUAGAAUUUUGCUUUCAGCUUUUAUCCUGAGAGUGGGGCUCACUGAACCUCUCUCCUUUCUAAAAUCUGUGGAAAUUACUUUUGGUAACUAAGGCACUGCAGUGAUCUCAGGUAAGAGAGUAAAAAAUUUGCCUUUAUUUGUUUUUAAUGUUGUGGGACGUUUCAGGUUUUGGUUGGGUGGAAACAGAGUUGGGGCAAACAAAAAGAGACUGGUUAAGAGAUUCAGAGGCAAAGGUUGGUUGGCCAUGCUAAAUUUCAGGUGCCUGUUGCACCUCCAUGUAGCAACAGUAAGUAGACAGAUAGCAGAUUCUUAGGGAAGAAGUUAAGCUAGAGAAGCAGUAUGGUGUGGUGUAAAGAAUUCUGGGCAUUCAAUUAAGAGGGUGGGCUCUGAGAGGCUAACACUACUACUAACUUGAUCGACUUUGACCAAGUCAUUUGACCUCUCUGGGCCCCAUCUUUAUUGGAAAAUGUCAAGUAGAUGGUCUCUAAUAAAUUCUUGUCCAGUUCUAACAUUAUGUGAUUCUAAAUGUAUUUAUACUGACCUUCUUAACUUGAACUCUUUGUUUUUUCAGCAUUUAGUAUGAGAACCUAUGUUUGCCAUAUUUGUAGUAUUGCUUUUACAUCUUUAGAUAUGUUCCGGUCCCACAUGCAAGGAAGUGAACAUCAAAUUAAAGAAUCCAUUGUUAUCAAUCUAGUGAAGAAUUCAAGGAAGACACAAGACUCUUACCAAAAUGAGUGUGCAGAUUACAUCAAUGUGCAGAAAGCCAGAGGACUAGAGACCAAGACUUGUUUCAGAAAGAUGGAAGAGAGUUCUUUGGAAACCCGCAGAUACAGAGAAGUGGUCGAUUCCAGACCCAGACAUAGAAUGUUUGAACAAAGACUCCCAUUUGAGACUUUCCGAACAUACCCAGCACCAUACAAUAUUUCACAAGCAAUGGAAAAGCAGUUACCUCAUUCAAAGAAGACAUAUGACUCUUUCCAAGAUGAACUUGAAGAUUACAUCAAAGUACAGAAAGCCAGAGGACUAGAUCCAAAGACUUGUUUCAGAAAGAUGAGAGAGAACUCUGUGGAUACUCGUGGGUACAGAGAAAUGGUUGAUUCUGGACCCAGAUCAAGAAUGUGUGAGCAAAGAUUUUCACAUGAGGCUUCCCAGACCUACCAACGACCAUACCAUAUUUCACCAGUGGAAAGCCAGUUACCUCAGUGGUUACCAACCCAUUCAAAGAGGACAUAUGAUUCUUUCCAAGAUGAACUUGAAGAUUACAUAAAAGUGCAGAAAGCCAGAGGACUAGAGCCAAAAACUUGUUUCAGAAAGAUAGGAGAUAGCUCUGUAGAAACACACAAGAACAGAGAAAUGGUUGAUGUCAGACCCAGACAUAGAAUGUUGGAGCAAAAGCUCCCAUGUGAGACUUUCCAGACCUAUUCGGGACCAUAUAGUAUUUCACAAGUAGUGGAAAACCAGUUACCUCAUUGCUUACCAGCUCAUGAUAGCAAACAGAGACUAGAUUCUAUUAGCUACUGUCAACUCACCAGAGACUGUUUCCCAGAAAAACCAGUACCCUUGAGCCUUAAUCAGCAAGAAAAUAACUCUGGCUCAUACAGUGUAGAAUCUGAAGUUUACAAGCACCUCUCCUCAGAAAACAAUACUACUGACCAUCAAGCAGGUCAUAAACGGAAACAUCAGAAGAGAAAACGACACCUAGAAGAAGGCAAAGAAAGGCCAGAGAAAGAGCAGUCCAAGCAUAAAAGGAAAAAGAGUUAUGAAGAUACAGAUUUAGACAAAGACAAGAGCAUCAGACAAAGGAAAAGAGAGGAGGAUAGAGUCAGAGUCAGUUCAGGAAAGCUUAAGCAUCGAAAAAAGAAAAAAAGCCAUGAUGUACCCUCCGAGAAAGAAGAACGUAAGCACAGGAAAGAGAAAAAGAAAUCUGUUGAAGAAAGGACAGAAGAGGAAAUGCUUUGGGAUGAGUCUAUUCUUGGAUUUUGAAUGUUUAGUUUUGUUUACCCAAGGUUGAAUUGAAAAAAAAAAACAGUCAAUAUGGAUUUAGAAAAAGGAACAUCUGAUGAAGAAAAGGAGAGGUAGAUACAGUCAGUGUCACUUCAGGACACUUAGGGUUUUUUUGUAUAAAAAUUUAAAUUGAAUUAAAACAAGGAAAAAAAAAAGCCCAAACUUAACCUCUGAGAAAGAACAUAAGAACUCAAGGAGAACAUAUAAGAGAAAAGGAAACCUGUUAAAGAAAAGACAACAAUCUGUGUUUUGGAAUGAGUCUAUUCUUGGGUAUUGAACUUCUAGUUUUGUUUGCCCAAGGAUUAAUUGAGGAAAUCAGCUAAGAAAAUUGACUUAGACAAAAGCAAGAGGAUCAGAUGAAGAAAAGGAGAGGUAGAUAGUCAGUGUCACUUCAGGAAAGCUAUUUAAAAAAACUUGAAAUUUAAUUGAAAGAAGAAACAACAACAAAAAAGCCUAAACCUAGCCUCUGAACAACACUAACAUGAGAACACAAGAACUUAAGAGAAAAAGAAACCUACUCAAGAAAAGACAGAAGAGACAGUGAUUUGGGAUGAGUCUACUCUAGGAUUUUCAACUUUUUCGUUUUGUUCCUUCAAAGUUGAAGGAAAAAAAGUUUGGUUUUAUAAAAUUCAUGUUAUUGGAAUUUUUCUAGGUGGAUGGCUACUUUAAUCUCUAAAAAAGCCAAGUGAAGUAAAAGUAUUCAAUAUGUCUUUUCCUCAAGUUACUUUCCUUCAUUUUCUUAAAAAAGAAAAAAAUUAUUAAAUGUUUCUCACAUAUCUCACAUAUAAUGUAAUUUCCCUAAAUGAAGUUGUCUCUACUUCUGCUCAUC